GUGGGUUUGUCCAUAUCUCUAAAUUUCCAUUUCGUGCGUGCAUGUAAUGAUAAGUUACUCCUAGGAAUAUUUAUAACUAAAAUUUGCUUGGUAUGAACAUGCACAUAUUUUAUACAGAAAAUGCAUGUUACUCCAUCUCUAUUUGUAGAGUCAAUAUAUAUUUAAUAAUUUUAUGUAGCCAUUAUAUUUUAAAAAUGGUGUGAACAAAACGUUAAAAAUAGUAGAAUAAAAAACAUGUGGAAAAGGGUUUUAAACUUUGGUAGGCUUCUUUGACAAAAAAAACUUUGAUAGGCAC
Molecule: long non-coding RNA, 295 nt
Filed under: Brassica napus (rape)
Lineage: Eukaryota; Viridiplantae; Streptophyta; Magnoliopsida; Brassicales; Brassicaceae
Description: long non-coding RNA (BNAP_LNC026563)
Source: RNAcentral